GGAUCGAUGAUGAUUCUUCUAUAAACAUUCCUUGGAAAAGCUGAACAAAAUGAGUGAGACUCACUACGUCUCUCUCAUCGCAACUGAGGUCA
Molecule: small nucleolar RNA, 92 nt
Filed under: Tupaia belangeri (northern tree shrew)
Lineage: Eukaryota; Metazoa; Chordata; Mammalia; Scandentia; Tupaiidae
Description: Small nucleolar RNA SNORD116 (ENSTBEG00000018864.1)
Rfam family: Small nucleolar RNA SNORD116
About the family: HBII-85 is a member of the C/D class of snoRNAs, which contain the C (UGAUGA) and D (CUGA) box motifs. HBII-85 is encoded in a tandemly repeated array with another C/D snoRNA, HBII-52, in the Prader-Willi syndrome (PWS) region of chromosome 15.
Source: RNAcentral